RNAcentral lists this ribosomal RNA (482 nucleotides) under uncultured bacterium. RNAcentral describes it as "bacterial SSU rRNA". It matches the Rfam family "Bacterial small subunit ribosomal RNA", at positions 8 to 496 of the family's 1533-position model. The record is from RNAcentral.
AGAGUUUGAUCCUGGCUCAGGACGAACGCUGGCGGCGUGCCUAACACAUGCAAGUCGAGCGGAGGUUAUUAUGAAGCUUGCGAUUAAUAACCUUAGCGGCGGACGGGUGAGUAACGCGUGGGCAAUCUACCUCUGGGUGGGGAAUAACAGUUGGAAACGACUGCUAAUACCGCAUAAGCUCUUUGAGACACAUGUUUUAAAGAGGAAAGGAUUAAUUCGCCGAGAGAUGAGCCCGCGUCUGAUUAGCUAGUUGGUAGGGUAACGGCCUACCAAGGCGACGAUCAGUAGCCGGCCUGAGAGGGUGAACGGCCACAUUGGAACUGAGACACGGUCCAAACUCCUACGGGAGGCAGCAGUGGGGAAUAUUGCGCAAUGGGGGAAACCCUGACGCAGCGACGCCGCGUGAGCGAUGAAGGCUCUCGGGUCGUAAAGCUCUGUUCUAAGGGACGAAUAAAUGACGGUACCUUAGGAGGAAGCCCCGG